CAUAUUGGUGUAAAGUGCAUGAAGAAACUCCAUGCUGAUGGGCUUCUGGAAUCACUUGAUUAUGAAUCACUUGAUACUUGCGAACCAUGCCUCAUGGGCAAGAUGACUAAGACUCUGUUCUCCGGAACAAUGGAGCGAGCAACAGACUUGUUGGAAAUAAUACAUACUGAUGUAUGCGGUCUGAUGAGUGUUGACGCUCGCGGCGGGUAUCGUUAUUUUCCGACCUUCAUAGAUGAUUUGAGCAGAUAUGGGUAUAUCUACUUGAUGAAACAUAAGUCUGAAACAUUUAAAAAGUUCAAUGCAUUUCAGAGUGAAGUGGAAAAUCAUCGUAACAAGAAAAUAAAGUUUCUACGAUCUGAUCGUGGAGGAGAAUAUUUGAGUUACGAGUUUGGUCUUCAUUUGAAACAAUGUGGAAUAGUUUCGCAACUCACGCCACCUGGAACACCACAACGUAAUGGUGUGUCCGAACGUCGUAACCACACUUUAUUAGAUAUGGUACGAUCUAUGAUGUCUCUUACUGAUUUACCGCUAUCGUUUUGGGGUUAUGCUUUAGAGACGGCUGCAUUCACGUUAAAUAGGGCACCAUCUAAAUCCGUUGAGACGACACCUUAUGAAUUGUGGUUUGGC
RNAcentral lists this ribosomal RNA (627 nucleotides) under Triticum aestivum (bread wheat). RNAcentral describes it as "partial small subunit ribosomal RNA". Lineage: Eukaryota; Viridiplantae; Streptophyta; Magnoliopsida; Poales; Poaceae. The record is from RNAcentral.